CCUACGGGUGGCAGCAGUGAGGAAUAUUGGUCAAUGGACGAAAGUCUGAACCAGCCAUGCCGCGUGCAGGAAGACGGCUCUACGGGUUGUAAACUGCUUUUGUCGGAGAGUAAACCGCGGUACGUGUGUCUGGUUGAGAGUACCCUACGAAUAAGGAUCGGCUAACUCCGUGCCCGCAGCCGCGGUAAUACGGAGGAUGCGAGCGUUAUCCGGAUUUAGUGGGGUUAAGGGGUGCGUAGGCGGUUGGAUAAGUUAGAGGUGAAAUGCCGGGGCUCAACUCCGAAACUGACGCUGAUACUGUUGGGCUAGAGAGUAGUUGCGGUAGGCGGAAUGUAUGGUGUAGCGGUGAAAUGCUUAGAGAUCAUACAGAACACCGAUUGCGAAGGCAGCUUACCAAGCUAUAUCUGACGUUGAGGCACGAAAGCGUGGGGAGCAAACAGGAUUAGAUACCCGAGUAGUC
RNAcentral lists this ribosomal RNA (460 nucleotides) under uncultured bacterium. RNAcentral's name for it is "partial 16S ribosomal RNA". It matches the Rfam family "Bacterial small subunit ribosomal RNA", at positions 338 to 795 of the family's 1533-position model. The record is from RNAcentral.